Lemur catta (Ring-tailed lemur) is the source of this 3996-nucleotide RNA transcript. It is a transcript of the gene named G protein-coupled receptor 68, with no coding region annotated. The record is from RefSeq and is a predicted model, not a curated record. Lineage: Eukaryota; Metazoa; Chordata; Mammalia; Primates; Lemuridae. The transcript is spliced from 4 exons.
GCUGGGUCUGCGGGAGAUCACUGGAGGGAGGGCUGGGGGCCCAGCUGCAGGAAGCCGGCUGCUUGAGGUUUGCGUGCAGAGCCCAGCUGGGGCGGGCAGAGUCACAGAGGACUGUGCCAGACUCCCCCCUCGGAGGACUCCGUGCAGCCUGAUUCCCGGAGCUGCCGCUCCUGCCUGCACCUGGCUGCAGAGACCACACGGCCUUGCUGGGGCCCAGGAGGCUCAGGAGGGUGGUGCGGGCCGGGCUCCCUCCAGCUAUUUCCAAACUGCUGGUUAUUUAUGACCCAUUAGUGGGUCAGGAAAUCAAUUUAGUAGUUUGUGACCUGCAUUUUAAAAAAUGAAAUAGAACAGAAAAUAUCAGGGUGCGUGGCAAGUACUAGGGGGCUCACCCCCCGCCAGUGAUGCCCAGCCCUUGGUAGGGCUCGAAGCACCUUCUACAGACGGGAUGGCGGUGGAGAGACCGGCCCAGUCCCACAGCCCAUGAGAGCGGAGGCCCCUUCCGGCCCAAAGAUGGGGAACAGCACUGCAGACAACUCCUCGCUGAACUGCACCAUCGACCACACCAUCCACCAGACGCUGGCCCCGGUGGUCUACGUCACGGUGCUGGUGGUGGGCUUCCCGGCCAACUGCCUGUCCCUCUACUUUGGCUACCUGCAGAUCAAGGCCCGCAACGAGCUGGGCGUGUACCUGUGCAACCUGACGGUGGCCGACCUCUUCUACAUCUGCUCGCUCCCCUUCUGGCUGCAGUACGUGCUGCAGCACGACCACUGGUCGCACGGGGACCUGUCCUGCCAGGUGUGCGGCAUCCUCCUCUACGAGAACAUCUACAUCAGCGUGGGCUUCCUCUGCUGCAUCUCCAUCGACCGCUACCUGGCCGUGGCCCACCCCUUCCGCUUCCACCAGUUCCGGACCCUGAAGGCGGCCGUGGGGGUCAGCGCCGUCAUCUGGACCAAGGAGCUGCUGACCAGCGUCUACUUCCUCAUGCACAAGGAGGUCAUCGAGGACGGGAACCAGCACCGCGUCUGCUUCGAGCACUACCCCAUCGAGGCAUGGCAGCGCGGCAUCAACUACUACCGCUUCCUGGUGGGCUUCCUCUUCCCCAUCUGCCUGCUGCUGGCCUCCUACCAGGGCAUCCUGAGGGCCGUGCGCCGCAGCCACGGCACCCAGAAGAGCCGCAAGGACCAGAUCCAGCGGCUGGUGCUCAGCACCGUGGUCAUCUUCCUGGCCUGCUUCCUGCCCUACCACGUGCUGCUGCUGGUGCGCAGCCUCUGGGAGGCCAGCUGCGACUUCGCCAAGGGCGUCUUCAACGCCUACCACUUCUCGCUGCUGCUCACCAGCUUCAACUGCGUGGCCGACCCCGUGCUGUACUGCUUCGUCAGCGAGACCACCCACAGGGACUUGGCGCGCCUCCGCGGGGCCUGCCUGGCCUUCCUCACCUGCUCCAGGACCGGCCGGGCGCGGGAGGCCUACCCGCUGGGCGCCCCCGAGGCCUCGGGGAAGAGCGGGGUCCAGGGCGAGGAGCCCGAGCUGUUAACUAAGCUCCACGCCGGCUCGCCUGCCGGAGGGGGGUCCCCCAUGGGUGGCUCGGCCUAGCCUGGGUCCCCCACGCUGGGGCCAGGGGAGGCCUGAGCUUGCUGGCCAGCUGCCCCCCGCUUUGCCAAGCGCAGGUGCCUCUCUGUGCGGGAGGGAAGGAUGGGUCUGUGGAGGGGGAAUAAGCCCUGCAGGCUCACAGGUGUCCUCUUGGCUGGCCGGGACUCGGCCAGGCUGGGGCUCCUGGGGGGAGGAAGACUGAGCUGUGGCUUCCGGGAGGUUUUCAAAGAGCAGCAUGAGAGGGGCUGUGGAGUAGGGGGCGCAUGGGGUGGAGGAUCGGGAGGUGAGGUGGGCAACUGGGUGUCUACCUGCCGGGGCCUUCCAGGGCCGUCGUCGUCACAGAUGAUACCUCUCCAAGUGCUGUUACCCGACGAUGGGACACAUGAAGAUGUACUGUCAUCAUGAACACUGGAGCCCCACCCCACGCAGGGUGAGAAGGGAAGAUUGGAUGGGGAGAAGGAAGGUGGGGGGCGUCUGGGGUGCUGGGAGUGGAGCGAGGACAGUGAGGGUGUGACGGGCAGAGGAGGACUCUAGUUCCAGCCACAUCACGGUUUCAUGGGAGGCUGAGCAGAUCCCCAGCCUGAAGGCUGAGGGAAAAUAAACCCCAGGGCUCCCUGGGGAGAUGUCUGUGGUCCUUAAAAAGUCAGCACUGAAGCUCAGGGGUCAGGACAGGGGCCGGAAGCCAGUGUGUGUUUAAGCAAGUGCCCGACACAGAUGCCUCCUAAUUAGAUUUGUUUCCCAGAAGGGCCAGACCUGAAAGCCUGGGGUGGGUGGGACGGGGGAGAGUGUGUGUGUUUAUGGUUAAAACGCCACAGUCUCCAUGACAGCUGUGUGCCAAGACCCUGAGGCUAGGGCCGUGUGACCACAGUACCCCAUCCCCUCCGCCCUGUCCCCUUCCACGCCCGCUGUGGAGUGUCUAGCAGUCUUGGAGAGGGGAACAUGUUCUCCCCGACCUCUCGGAUGUAAGAGCAAACACCGCAGAGGUGCGCUCCCUCGCAGCCCUCAGCCAGAGGCCUGGGCUUAAAUUCUGCUCUGGUUUAAAUAGCUGCCGUGACAAGGAGAAGAGGUGACCUCUGUUCUCCAUCUCUGCUCCACUGCCGGAUGUCCCACCUCACCCACCUGGAGAGUGACGUUAGGAGCGUGCACCAUGUGUAGCCCAGAGUCCUGACUGCCAUCUUUUGUUCUGUCCUGAAAGGCUGGGUAGGGGCUCAUCUCUCCUGUAACUUUGUGCCUGACCAUGUUGAGGUAUCCCUCCCACCCCCCACUCCCCACCCCACACAGGGGUUUCUCCUGUUCAGUUUUGCAACAAAGUUUCCUGCCCCUGAGCGCCAUCCCUUCAAGGGUCUCUGGAGAGUGGCAGGGAGGGGCUGUGGGGUCCUUCAGCCUCUUCCUAUUGUUCAAACACAAGGGACUUUGCCUCUGCAACAUGCCAGGCACAGCCCCUGCUCUGGUGACCAUGCCAAGGACCCCGAGAACUACCUGUGCUCCAGGAGACCGGCCCACCUCCACAGAAAUGCCAGCCCUGCAGACUUUCUGGUCAGACUCCUGGAGGCCGGAGUGUUCCGGAAGAGUAGAUCCUUCUUCCAAACACACUAACAUCAAGAUCUCAAAAAUGCCCGGGAACCCCGUACUCAGAGGCCCCCACUACACAGAACUCUGCAGUCACAAAUCAGGGACAAAAAUUGUAACUGUAGGAGACCUGGCCAGCGAGGCUCAGAGCCGAGGUGGCUUCCCUGAGCCGUGAGAAGCCGCAGACGGAGGACUGCGUUCUCCUGACCGUGGUGCGUCGGCCCCGCCAGCAACCCGCACAAGCACGGCCCCUGCAGAUGGAGCUCGUUUCCACACCACGGGUUCCAUUCUUCACAGCUGUCGCCCGCAUAGAUUCAAACUAGACGCGCUUAAGGAAAUGAAGGAAAACAAGCAGGCCCGACACACACUCAGGGCCCUAGCCGGGGAGACGCACUGUCCCUGCCUGGGUGAGUCAGGCGUCACUCAGCAGUGUGCCAGCACAAGACAUUGUACUGGGACAAUGGGCAGUGACUCAGUUUCUAAUUUUGUUGGGCAGUGUGCAGAGGAAGCUUGCGCAGUAAAGGGCAGGCUGGCUGGAGUCGCUCAGGAGGGCUCUGUGACCCACCCACGGCGUGGCCGCCUCCUGCGAGGGGGGCAAAGUGUGCAGCCCCAGGUGCGGGAGCAGAGGGAGGCGGUGGAAGAAGUGUCAGGGGUGAAGGGAGGUGAGGGGCAGCGAUGGUGACAAACUUACGGUUUUUCAGGGGAUCUUCUGCCUUAGGAAACAAAAUGCUGCCUGAAAAAGAAAACAUUUCAAAGAUAUAAAUAUUUUGGUGGUGGUAGUGAGUAAACCUUCCAUGAAGCCCCAGAACUUCAUAAAUAAAUGUACAUUCCACGUUU